GACAGAGGGGGCAAGCGUUGCUCGGAAUCACUGGGCGUAAAGGGCGCGUAGGCGGGAUGGCAAGUCAGUCGUGAAAUCUCUCGGCUCAACCGAGAAACGUCGGCUGAUACUGCCGUUCUUGAGGGAUGCAGAGGAGACUGGAAUUCCCGGUGUAGCGGUGAAAUGUGUAGAGAUCGGGAGGAACACCGGUGGCGAAGGCGGCUCUCUGGGACGGUACUGACGCUGAGACGCGAAAGCGUGGGGAGCGAACAGG
Molecule: ribosomal RNA, 253 nt
Filed under: uncultured bacterium
Lineage: Bacteria
Description: partial 16S ribosomal RNA
Rfam family: Bacterial small subunit ribosomal RNA
Source: RNAcentral